This 1299-nucleotide long non-coding RNA is filed under the name Sus scrofa (pig). Its description in RNAcentral is "lncRNA (ENSSSCG00055019240.1)". Lineage: Eukaryota; Metazoa; Chordata; Mammalia; Artiodactyla; Suidae. The record is from RNAcentral.
AGACGUGGAAAAACUUAUGGUCUCUGGAGGAGACAGUUUGGGGGGUGGGGGGAUGUGCCUGGGCUAUGGGAUGGAAAUCCUGUGAAAUCAGAUUGUUAUGAUCAUUGUACAACUACAGAUGUGAUAAAUUCAUUUGAGUAAUAAAAAAAAUGAAAAAAUGAAAAAAAAAUAAAUAAAAAAUAAAAAAUUUUGUUCACUAUUUGAAAUGACUGGAAUGCUAAUCAAAAAAGUGGAAGAUUGAAAGUUAAAGUCCUUCUUGAACUGCAAGAAAAUAAGAUCAACCUUGGAAAUUGUAGUGAAAUUUAUCAACAAAUGUAUAUUAAUCUCAGUUACCACCUUCUUUGCAUGAGUUAAAGAUGGGCUUAAAGACAUAUUUGGAAAUAUACUUUUGAGUAUGAUGAUUAGAUUUAAAGAUCUGUAUCAUUCAUACACAUGUGAUUAUGUAAAAAUAUCAGCCAAAAUUUGCAGAAUAACAUAGGUAGAUAAGAUGCCUAUUUAUAAACCAUUGUAUAAUUUGUAUCAGUGUGAUUUAGGUUUUUCUAUCUACAGUUCAAACUUUUAUAUCCACUUGUUUGGAAAGAAGAUAUAAUUCUUUUAAUAGCAUCUCCAACUACAUAUUUGUUUGAAAAAGGUUUUGAUGUACCACUGCAGUUACUGCAAAGAUGAACAAGAGGUAAACUGCUAACGUGUAAAGGAGAUGUGACAUUCCUUUAAAUUUAGAACUAAAUUAGCAUAGGCAUUGACUUAGCAAGGAUCUUAGUUUUGUCAUACAAUUUUUAAAUAAAGUGCCGCUUAAAAUUUAGUUGUCUAGGAAAUCUGUGAUGUGAGCUCCCAGCAGGGAGAUGAGCAAAUUGUGAUCCAGGAAGAGAGGAGCUGAGAGCCUGGCGGUUGCUAAAUGGAUUGGAAGGCGCUUCAUUGAGGCCUGGGGAGGCUUCUUGCUUGUUGAGGGCUUCUGGCCCUCACGUGGGAAGGUCUGGUGCCCCUGGUCUGGGAAAAGAAGACCUGCAGACACUGCCCGCUGGAAAGAGCCGCUGCUGGGAGUGGGUAAGAAAGUUCCCUCCCCAUUCUGCCUCAGCCUGGACCGCUGGAGCAGGGUCGUUGGCUGCAGACCAUGUCACAGCUCAGACUCCCACAGCAGUAGCUUCUGAAGCUCUGCUCUCAUUGUCACCACCUGUGUCUGGCUUGGAGAGGCGGAAGGUUGACUAUGAAGGAGCUUUGAAGGGAUUCCUGCUCAGGCCGGCCAGUUGCCUUUCUUGGUGUCCGUCUGUUGUUGCCCAGCUAGAGACCACAAAAGCUUGA